This is a long non-coding RNA of Polypterus senegalus (gray bichir), 2806 nucleotides long. RefSeq lists it as uncharacterized. Lineage: Eukaryota; Metazoa; Chordata; Cladistia; Polypteriformes; Polypteridae. The transcript is spliced from 4 exons. The record is from RefSeq and is a predicted model, not a curated record.
GCGCUGCAUACCAUAGCUUCUGAGCCAUCCAGGCGCCCCCUGGCAGCAAAGUGGCUGCUUUCUCGUGUUCCAGGUGAGGUACUGCUCCUCUCCCAGUCCUUCCAUCCUCCAGGGGUCCCGACUGGGCAAGAGCCCCAGCCAUCCACUACACCUUUUACCGUGGUAACUAACAGAACAUUAUCGUAUAUUUUGUUACAUUACAACCCAAAUGCAAAACAUUACUGUUGUUUAUUUUUUAAGCCAUAUGCAAAAGAUUGUCAGCUCAUGUUUUGUAACACUGCACAGUAAAUGCAACAACACAUUGUUUUAACAUAAUGUAAAACAAAUAAUAGUAAAUACCAGGUCCUAUAUUGCUCCAUUAAUUUUGAGAGAACCCAUCUCUGAGUUAUCACAGUUGCAAAGUCAUUAAUGACUUCCACAAAACUAACUUAACACUCAAGGUCCUAUUCAGACAAGACUGUUCAGUCUUUCUUGGUACAUUGUUGUGCAAAAGUAAGUAAAUUCUUACAUAUUUCUGACCACUGUCUAUGAAAGGACAGCUUGGUCAGCCACCGUGGAAUAAAUUAAAUCUGCUUGAGGUGGGAGGCCACUUUUGUCCUGUGACAGGCAGUUUGACGCUAGAAGCAAGGAGCUGAUUUUCAUACUGGCCCUCUCACUUCAAGUCAUUAUGCAUUCCCACCUUCUGUAUUCCCAUACAGCUGUUGUCGCCAGUCUUGCCAAUGUUGUUACUGAUGUCGCUCUUACAAAAACAAAUAAUUUCUAUAUAGACGAUCCAACUAGUACUAGCUGAUACCCCAUCUAGUAACUAAAGUAUUGAAAAGUAACCCAUAAAUUUGACACUUCAGGCCCCACCCUUGGCUUGUUUUGAAGAUGCACAUCGGCCUCCAUCUCCACUUCUGCUGUGUUUAUUGCAAAAGGAGAAAUGCCUUUAUUAGAGCUUAUUGUUGUGCUUUAUCUGCAAAAAAUGUAAAAAAAAAUAUAUAAAAUCUGCUGAUUUAAGCUUUCGGUUGAAAUUUGUGGCCAUAUAGGAUUAAAUAUAAUUGAGGAAUAUUAUAGUGAUGGUGCCACAAACCAAUACACUGCCUAUUCUAGGGGUUUUCUUAAAAGGUUACCCAGAAUGCAUUAUUACAGUAUGUGUAUUAUCUAAAUAUGACCCAUGGUUAAUCCAUAGCAAUCUAGCCACAGUCAGCAAUGAUGAGUAGUUAUUGUGGUAGUCGUGAAAGGAAUCUCAUCUCUUAUGAUUCUUGACCCAGCAAUCCAUAGAGGGUGCCACAAUUUUGUAGAUGGAAGAAAGUUUUAAUGGAUGUGCUGUGAUGGCCCACCAUAGAGGUUGCCACAAAUUUGUAGAUGGAAGAAAGUUUUAAUGGAUGUGCUGUGAUGGCCCACCUUGUGAUGAAUCCAUUCUUCGUUACUUUAGCAGGUCUAGCCCUUAAAUUCUUCCUAUUUUGGCAUGAUGGCCUUCACCACCAGCAUUCUCCUGCUGUCGCUACUUGUGAUGCAUCAAGAAGACUGCCUGUCCUCACGAAGACCAAGCUUUUACCAGACUUGCUGAGUUGUUCACACACACACAUGACAAAGGCAUGGCUGAGGCAUUCUUCAAAAGCAAUAGUUUCCUAAAGUCACCCUCAUCUAACCCCAUCCUGUUUUCAGCUUGACGUGUUGGUUAAACUGGCCUUUGCAUAAUCGUGGUGUAAGAAGCUGAAGCUUUUCAUGGCAUGGCAGUUACAGGCAGGAGAGCAGAAAACAGAAUUGACCAGCCGAAGACCGUGCCUCUCAGUGACAUCAUCACCGGUCCACCAACUGAUGACAUCACUAUCAGUGCCCAGAACCCAUCUAACUGCCACAUCAGUUCCUGUUCCGGCCUACCUAACUCCCCCUUAUCCUCUAAUCCACCAUAUUUAUACCCCAGACUCGUCCUGUUAGUUAGUUUGGUUUUGAACUCUGCCUUGUAAAGAUGUGUUUUCUUUACUUUCUGAUUUUCAGUAUAUGGUGUGACCAUCCCCAAACCUUUUUCUGUCUGUUGCCUAUUUUUUAGCACACCUGUUAAGGCAUAAUCCUGGUUUCUUAGUCUGUGUUUACAACCUAUGGAAGCUCUGAACUGCACAAUUAAAAGAAUUAUGGGCUAGCCCUUAUCUCAUACCUACGUGAAAAUUUCUCGUAUGUAUGAGAUACUUUCGCAUACGUAUGAGAUAUUUUUAUGACCUGAAUUUUUUUGCAAUUUUUUUAAUCUAACUAACUGUAUCUUGUACAUAUGUAAAAAUAUCUUGUACAUACAUGAAAACAUCUUGUACGUACAUAAAAGUAUCCCGUACAUGUGUGAAAAUAUUUCAUACAUACAUAAAAGUAUCCCAUACAUAAUUGAAGAAAAUAUCAUGCGUACAUGAAAUUAUCCUAUAAGUACGAGAUAUUUUUACGUACAUACGAGAUAUUAGCUAUCUCGUCCUUUUUUCAUUGUGCAUUUCAGAGCUUCCAUAUCAUGCACAAGUAUUCAUUUCUUCUCCUUUGGAAAUUUGCUCUGACGUCAUUAAACUACAAAAAGAGAGUUAAACAUCAUCAUUGGCUUCUGUGAAUUCAAAAAUAAGCAUGACGCCUGUGAUUAUUUUCUUUUGUUUUAUAAACACGUUAAGCCAAAUUAACUCUGUAUUUAUAGGUUUCUUUUACCAGAUUGUACAUCCCGCACUCUUUUCUUCUUGGCUAUGUGAUUGAGCCCUGCAAAGGACCAGAUUUUAAGGGCAACAAAGUAACAGGAGCAUUGAAAUAACAGAGAAGACAUGAGCAGGCACAAGAUGUGAAAAGCGUGGGAGGU